Molecule: long non-coding RNA, 1806 nt
Filed under: Neodiprion lecontei (redheaded pine sawfly)
Lineage: Eukaryota; Metazoa; Arthropoda; Insecta; Hymenoptera; Diprionidae
Description: uncharacterized LOC124294056
Source: RNAcentral
CGCUCAACUGUCAGCGCUUUCGGCGGCCAGCGUAUGAACGACAAAACCAGGCAACAGAGGGAAUAUAGAGAUCAGUGGGGAAACUUAAUAGGUUCCAUUCUACUGAUGCGUUCAUUCUGUGGUUCAUUCUUCAGCCAACGUUAGCUAGUCCGUAGAUAUCGCCGGUCUCUGGGUGUCCGCAGAUUGAAUUUCAUCUUUAUUAUGUAUUGAAAUGGAGAAGUUAAACAGAUUGUGCAAGUUUGGAAAUGCGCACAUGAGUGCGUACCGCAUGCUUUAAUCUAUAUACUUAUAUGUAUACGACCAGUGAUUUGAAAUAAAUUUUCUAGUCAGCUUAUAUUGUACAUUAUUCCAAAAAUUAUCUAUCCUGAUAUACACUGAAUAUAAAUGUAAAGUGUGUAAAAAUAAAUGUAAAUCCGAACUGGCAAAUUUGCGUGAGUUAGAAUCUGAGCUGCAAAUGACCUAUUAGUAUAAAUAUUACUAAAUAUAAUGACAUGAGUUUGAAAAAAUAAAGUGAAAAGAUAGCUCGUUAUACUUUGUGACGUCCCUAGAAUAACCAAAAUUGUACAACUUAUAAAAAGAAGGCGUGCAAUAGGAUGGGUCUAUUUCAACAAAAGAAAGAAAUUGAGACUCUCAUAAGCUAAAAUAAAGAGACACAUUCCUCGGGAAGAUUCUUCCAUCCCUCUGAUGACUAAUGAUCGAGAGGUUUCAAGGCGAGGUAAGACGUUGGAAAGCUUGCAACCACCCUGAGCGAUUUCUCGGAAUUUAGGCUGACAAGUUUUUUGACUUCGCGUCGAGAAAUCUGCGUCCAAAUGGACCUGAAGGUCUACAAAAAUUAUCAGAUGACAAGCAUCCGGAGGAUGGAGACGCGAUUCGGACAACCAGUGGCUGUAGAUGAGAAUGGUACGUGCAGCGUUGUCUUGUCAGCUUGGGUAGUGAAAAUGCUGUAUGAUGAUGACAUCCUAUUCCGGAAUGUGGUACAGGCUACUUGCGAGGAUCGGCUGCUGAAGUAUUGAGGUAAACAUCGUGUGCAGUGCUUCCAUUCUGGCAUCUGGGUAGACUGGAAUAUCGACGAGGGUACAAGCAAUGUCGACGAGACGGGGCAAGUCACAAUCUAGCUGUGACAAUUCAACCGAAGUAUUUUCCAAUCGUUCGUCUACGUCUGCAGACCAUUGUUGCAUGAGCGUAUCAAUGUCAACUGUUGGUUUUGAGAGAUGUACUGUAAGCGGGUGCCUAUUUGUGUGCAACUGGUCCUGAACUUGUACUAUGACUUCGCAAUUGCAAAUGCAGAACGGCAGGCUCCGAUUGAUUGGCGCAGGGCUCAUCCAGAACGACUAGCCCUACUUUAUCAGCGGUACCAUCGGGUUUCGGAACUUUAAUGAAAGCAUCAAUAUCGCCGACUGCUGGAAUGUAGUCGGGCACGAACGGAAUGAGCUUGUAGUCAAGGUCAAUUUUCUGCGAUGCCCACUGAAAAACAUAGAAAGGCAAAAACCUGACCAACUCACCUUGUGAUAUUCUCGAAAAGUUCUUUGAUUUCAGCUGAUACGUGAAGAUCUUCAAAUUCCUUUGGAUCAUAAGUUUCAAAACCUUUGGUUGUUCCACCUUGUAUAUCAUCGUCAUCCGUCUCUUCACUAUCAGAAGCAUCAUUCAUGAGUGCGCUUGACUUGCCAAACGAUGUGGGUUCAACGUGGUCCGUAAGCUUGUUCGAAUAUCUAGUGGAACAAUUUUUGAAUAUUCCAUAUAUGCUUAUAGGAUUUUAAUGUACUUAACCGUCUACCGACACAAAAAUUAAAUAAGAUGCCAAAGGAA